GGUAGGAUUUUUGAAAAGUUAGAAAAAGAAAAGUUUAGAACAGUAACAAUUGAGGAAAACAUGUAUAUCGCUUGACUGCUUGUGUAUACCAUGAAUUUUCCAACCACUUAGUCUAAGGGGUAGAGGUCUAUUUAUAGGUGGGCUCUAAUGGCCCCUGAUACACGGUGAUCCUUGGGACAAAAUAAUACAUUGGUACACCGUCAGGGAAGUGGUGCAAAGCGUAGUGGUGCAGAGGUUGUGGUGUCGGCAUUGGUGCAUGGUCAGAGGUGCUCAGGCAAUGACUCCACACUUUGUACUAACUCCUACCACCACUACUUGUCGGAUAAAUUGUCAGAGUCACGGCUUCAUUUUCCUCAGGAUUGUACAUCUCGUACCCAUACAUGUUCUUUGUACCGGAUGGUCCUUCUAACAUUUCCAAGAGACAUCUUUUCUUUAAGCUUUCUUGUAAUUUGCUAAGUUUGGGAAAGCAUGUUGUGAGAGGUCAAGAUGUGAGGGCGUAAGAAGGUUGGGCGUCGCUAUGCAAGGCCCUUGGCCGAGGGAGAUGAGCACCUAUGCGCCUUCGCACGAAGAUUGGGUCCCCCUAUGCGAGGCCCUUGGCCGAGGGGCAUGAGCACCUAUAUGCCUGCGCACGAAGAAUUGGUCUCGCUAUGCGAGGCCCUUGUCUGAGAGAGAUGUGCACCUAAUACGCCUGCGCAUAAAGCGAGGCCCUUGGCCGAGGGAGAUGCGCACCUAUGUGCCUGCGCACAAAGAUUGGGCCUCGCUAUGUGAGGCCCUUGUCCGAGGGAGAUGCACACCUAUGCACGAAGAUUGGGCCUCACUAUGCGAGGCCCUUAUCCGAGGGAGAUGGCGCACUUAUGCGCCUGUAGGUGGCUGGUGCCUCUCUAUGCGAGGCCCUUGAUCUGUUAGGUCUUGAACCUUCAUUGAUGAAUGCUUUAAGGGAAAUUAUUCCAUAUUCACACAUGCUCCUGAGUUUAUAAGUAUACUUUUAAGUGUUGUAGAAUUUUUCCUAUGUUCCUUGUAUGAUAUGAACGACAUUCGAGCUUUGCUUUACUUUAGGAGUUUGGGAGGCUCAUCAUUGGUGUGUUAUCUAAUGGUUUAUGAAGAAAUACAAAAUAUAUUUGAGUAGUGUGUUUCUUUGUAAUGUACAAAAAAACACAAAAACCAAAUAGCUAGGGUGGUGAUCCAGGUGCAUCCUUAUAACUGAUUGGGGGCCAAUCAUUUUUAGGUACGAAUCCCAAAGUUGUCAAGGCUCUUGAUCUCCACCAUUCAUCCUAGACUUGAUCCAAAGGCUAGGAAUUAUUGACUCUCCUUAUAAAUACCUCAAGGCUUGGAUUCAUUUUUUCACACCAAAAAUUACUUAGCCUAGUGGUAUCUCAUUGAAGCUAUUUCAGGGGGUUCCAAGUUUCUAUCCUCCAUAGAAGCAUUCUUGAAGUAAUUUUCGCCCCUUUUACUUAAAUUCAUCUCCCUUCUUUUUUUUUUUAAAAAAAAAACACUUAUUCUUCCUUGUCCCAUGUUUGCAUUGUAGGGGUACAAGGUGUUCUAACAUUUCUAAGGGUCCACUCUUGCUUAUCGCUUGAUCCCUCGUAAUACGCCAAAAGCUUGUCCUCGUAAAUAUGCAGACUCGCAUACACGCACCCAGGUAUACCUUCUUGCCCUAGUGAUAUGCAUGUCUCUUUUAUCUUUUACACAAGGGUAGGGCAAUAGGUUAGUAUGUACAUGUUCCUUAAGAGUUCUUUAUUCCCAUUGCCUGUUAGGCGUGUAUACAUGGGUCCCUAUCUUACACCCUUUACACUCAUGUUGUAGAUAAAGGGUUAUCUUCACGCACCCACGGCGUCGAGUCUUAGCUUGCCUAUGGCGUGUGGACGAUCUUUUAAAGUCGCGCCUGACGUUGAGCUUAUUGAGUUGUCAUCUUCCAACUUUGAGGUCGACAUUUGUAAACCCUCUACAAAUGCGGGUGUGUGAAUGCUCUACCUGCAAAGGUUAUCCUUCCUCAGGAAGAAAGCAAGAGACCUUGAGAGUGAACUCGAAUCUGUUACCAGUGGUGGGGGUUUAGGUUUCUCCCAUGGCACGAAACAUAUGUCGCCUAACUAAAAUCAACCCUUCAAGAUUGCAUAGCCGAAAUCGCUUGCUUAGAGGAAAACCUGCCACCUGAACCUCCAUCUUCCUAUGGCGAUGGAGCCCCAAGCUCUGGGGGUCCUGCCCAUGGGGGUGCUGAUUGUGACCCAUUUGAACCUGAGUUUCUCUCCAUGGUCUUUCUCUCAUUUCUUCAUAUGUCCUCGACCAAACAUCAUAGGGUCAAAGGGUCAAGCAGUAUGCAGGUAGACGUAGAACAUGUAGAUGGCCUUCAGAGGGUUGAUGAAGUCAGUUGCUCACAAACCGCCUGUUGUUUCUGUCCAGGUAUCAAACAUGUUGAGGGAGAUCCUUGACGAUUCUAAGAAUGCGGGCAUCGAGUCUACUCUUACUCGGGUUAAGCUUUCUAACAUGUUGAAGGCCCAUCAACUGUCAUCGAACAUCAACUUCAUCAUUCCAUCUCGUAAUGACCGUGCGUCUGAGUCACAUGAGGGACUUGUAUCUUUCAGCGACUCAGUGACAAAGUCUGGAGGGGUCUUGCCACUUCACCACUUCUUUGAUAAGAUACUCAACUAUUUUGAGCUAGCACCUCUUCAGCUGUCUCCCAACUAUUGGGUUGUGCUUAGUUGUUUGUAUGUGUUAUACAAGCAAGUGCACCUUUGUGGGCCCUCCAUGAGUGAUGUCCAUCAUCUGUACACUCUUAGGGCGAACCUAACAACCUCUAGCUUCUAUCAUCUCCAGAAAGUUGUGGCUCUCACAGGGUACCCCCUCAUGGAGAGCUCAUUUCAAAUAGGGGUUCGUAGAAAAGCUAUUUUUUCUUCACCAAUAGCGUAUCCACUCAGCAUAAACGUUUUAACACAUCAAGUAAGCUUUUUCUACUUGCAUAUAUACAUAUAAUUUUUUUAUGUAAUUUUUUACUUGUCUUUACCCCUCUCCUCAGGUUUUCCUAACUAUACAUAUUUCUUUUCCUUGACCAUAGGUCUUGAAGGGGUGGUCGACUCUGCUUUGUGUCUGGCAGCCCGCGAUUGUGUGGCAAAGGUCUUGGCUAUGCCGGCUUCACACAAACAGGCCUACAGCCUUUUCACUGAGUGCAAUCUCUAUUCGUCCAUGUUGCUGUCUCCAGAUCAAUCCAUUUCUCUUGUUCCAUCUCAUCCAAGUCUACCAUCCCGAAGAUCAUAGACUGAUGACAAUGAUGAAUACUAUCUCUACUCUGAGGGUGACCUGAUGGAUAUUAAAGAUGAGGUCAAGGUGGAGUCCGAGAACUAUUCCUGUUUAAGAUCCUCCGAAGAUGGAUAUACUGAUGACGUCACUUCCUGGAUCUCAUCGUCGGUAGUAAGUGGUGAGUUUGCUUUCAACAUCCAUCAUCCUACUCCUAUCCCGAAGAGGAAUUUCAUCCUUCCUUCCUUUGACGAUGCUCUUCCACCCUUGGAAACGCAUUUGGGACAGGUGUCUUCGGGUGCCUCGCUUCCUGAAGAGGUGACUCCGCGCACCUCCUCUCUUCGUGCCUCUAUGGACGGAUUAGGACCUUCCCAGUCCCUUCUUUAUCUAGGCAUGCAUCGACAAGUGUACAAGUCUCCCCCUGCCAAGCCCAUGCUUCCGCUUCCUGGGGGCAUCCUUUGGCGAGCCAGCACGGAGAGGCCAUGAGCCAUUACAUGGGGAGUAUUUAUGAAGGCGAGUGAGGCUCUAUGUAUGAUAUUCUAGAUGCCGAGUUGGGUGAGGCUUAUAUGUGAGCCUCUAUGCAGGCUUCCAUCUUGGGUCACCAUUUUGUCGCAUCGAGCUCCUCAUCCAUGCAACGGUUACAGUUCGAGCUUGAGGGGCGAUGAAGGACCUCUCCUUGGCCUGGCAGAGAAAGAUGAGUUGACUGCAUGGGUCAGCGACUUGGAGGGCCAUCUUGCUGAGGCGGUGCGCCAAAAGAAUACUGCUAAGGCCACAUCGACCUCUCGAUCCAAAACUAGGCUCGAAGCCAAUAUUCAUACCCUGAAUGAGAAGAUUAAUGCUCUUGAGGCUGAGCUGGUAAAUGCUAAGAAUGGCAUAGUCGAGUGCACAUUGCAUGUCUUGUGGACGAUCAAUUCUGAUGUCAACCUGUCUCCCAUUGGAGAGUAUGCAAUCGAGAAGAUUGUUGAGUGGAAAGGUCGGGGUGGAAACCCAUAGGCCUCUCUCUGAGGCUUAUUUAAAUAUAUAUAUAUAUAUAUCUAUAUUUUGUUGUUGUGUAACCCUCUAUCUUUUUUCUUCUAUAAGGAACUCCUUAUAAGUCUUUGAUAAUAUGUGGGACUCUUUAUCUCUAAGUCCUUGCUUAUUUUUGUAUUGACUGCAAGGAUGUAUUGGAA
Humulus lupulus (European hop) is the source of this 4397-nucleotide long non-coding RNA. RefSeq lists it as uncharacterized. The transcript has 2 exons. The record is from RefSeq and is a predicted model, not a curated record. NCBI's taxonomy places the organism in Eukaryota, Viridiplantae, Streptophyta, Magnoliopsida, Rosales, Cannabaceae.